UGGCCUGUGAUACAGACCUAUUUAUGCACGACAUGAGAUAAAGCAGUUCCUCCUUAAGACGUUAUCUUCCGAUUCCGCUUGUCAGACGAACCACCUUCUUAGUGCCAUCCAUAAGUAUUGUUUCUGAGCUCGGCCCCUACGCCUUAGGGCAAAUUUAAUUAAGUUAUAAAGGUAAUACAAAUGACUAAGAAGACUGGUCAAGUAAAAUGGUUUAACGAAAGCAAAGGCUUCGGUUUUAUCGAACAGCACGAUGGCGGCAAAGAUGUAUUCGUACAUUUCUCAGCUAUCGCUAGCGAAGGUUUCAAAACUCUGGCUGAAGGCCAGCGUGUAGAAUACACCAUUCAGGACAGCCCGCGCGGGCCGGCUGCUGCGAAUGUUGUUGCUCUGUAAGAUUA
RNAcentral lists this small RNA (395 nucleotides) under Hafnia paralvei. Its description in RNAcentral is "cspA thermoregulator". It matches the Rfam family "cspA thermoregulator", at positions 1 to 378 of the family's 428-position model. Lineage: Bacteria; Pseudomonadati; Pseudomonadota; Gammaproteobacteria; Enterobacterales; Hafniaceae. The record is from RNAcentral.